GAUAAAUGGAAUUUUGCAGAUGUAAUCAGGAUGUAAAAUCAGUUGACUUUGCCUUCCUCUAAAGGGAGGUUAUCUUGGUGGGUGUAAUCUAAUCGAAUGGGGUCUGUCUCUAGGAACCGAGCACGAAGGACUCUGGGAGGACAGCCAGCCAGGAGAAUAAGACCUCAGUCCCGCAACUGCACAAAAUGGAAUUCCAAACACCCAGAUGAGCUUGCAGGCAGGCGAUUCCCUAGAUCCUCAAGACGUGGCCCUGUUGUCAGCCCAGGCCGCCCUCCCUCCUGGGCUUGGCUGGUGUCAGAUCUCAGAGGUACUGAUGCUUGGAAAAGAAGCCUUUCUUGGGAGUUCAUCACGUCAAAGUCUCCUGCAGACUGCACACUGUUUUUCACCAUCAGUCUGUGACGAAUAGGAACCUUCCAGGAGGUGUCGGUGAUCAGGA
This is a long non-coding RNA of Bos taurus (domestic cattle), 436 nucleotides long. The record is from Ensembl. NCBI's taxonomy places the organism in Eukaryota, Metazoa, Chordata, Mammalia, Artiodactyla, Bovidae.